UAUGAUUCUGGUGCAAAGUGCUU
RNAcentral lists this non-coding RNA (23 nucleotides) under Mus musculus (house mouse). The record is from RNAcentral. RNAcentral also lists the same sequence under 1 other name. Lineage: Eukaryota; Metazoa; Chordata; Mammalia; Rodentia; Muridae.